GUUUAUUUCAAAGGACACUAUAUUGUGAUCACUAUUUCCCAAGUGCUCACCUACUUGAAUGUUGGUCAAAAGAUCAACGUUGUUUGUUAAAACCAGGUCCAGACAAGCGUCCAUUCUAGUUGGUGCUUGUACAAGAUGUGACAUGAAGGUGUAAUUUAACAAGUUUAAAAACCUAAUUCCCUUUGCUGAGGUACUAGUCCCUCUGUCCCAAUUUAUAUCCGGGUAAUUAAAAUCUCCAAUAAUUAAAGUGUUACCCAGAUUUGCAGCUUUCUCAAUUUGCUCAAACAGCUGUUGUUCCUCGUCAAUAUUAACAUUAG
This is a non-coding RNA of Pelobates cultripes (western spadefoot toad), 317 nucleotides long. The record is from the annotation of a GenBank genome assembly. NCBI's taxonomy places the organism in Eukaryota, Metazoa, Chordata, Amphibia, Anura, Pelobatidae.